GGGAUUGCUUCAGUAACGGCGAGUGAAGCGGCAACAGCUCAAAUUUGAAAUCUGGCCUCGUCGGGGUCCGAGUUGUAAUUUGUAGAGAGUGUUUCGGGUGAGACCGCGGUCUAAGUCCAUUGGAACAUGGCGUCAUAGAGGGUGAGAAUCCCGUAUGCGACCGUGGGCCGAGCCCAUAUGAAGCCUCUUCGACGAGUCGAGUUGUUUGGGAAUGCAGCUCAAAAUGGGUGGUAAAUUUCAUCUAAAGCUAAAUACUGGCUGGAGACCGAUAGCGCACAAGUAGAGUGAUCGAAAGAUGAAAAGCACUUUGGAAAGAGAGUCAAACAGUACGUGAAAUUGUUGAAAGGGAAGCGCUUGCAACCAGACCUGCCCGCGGGCGAUCAGCCGCUGUUCUCAGCGGUGCACUCGUUCCGCGAUCAGGCCAGCAUCGGUUUCGGCGGUCGGAUAAAGGCCUUGGGAAUGUAGCUCUCCUUUGGGGGAGUUUUAUAGCCCUUGGUGCAAUGCGUCCAGCCGGGACCGAGGACCGCGCUUCGGCUAGGGUGCUGGCGUAAUGGUUGUAAGCGACCCGUCUUGAAACACGGACCAAGGAGUCUAACAUCUAUGCGAGUGUUUGGGUAUCAAACCCACACGCGGAAUGAAAGUGAACGGAGGUGAGAACCCUUGAGGGCGCAUCAUCGACCGAUCCAGAUGUCUUCGGAUGGAUUUGGGUAUGAGCAUAGCUGUUGCGACCCGAAAGGUGAGACCCUCGAUACUCUCCCCAAUCCCCGUAGCGUCUUACUAAUAAACUUUGCAGAUGGUGAACUAUGCCUGAAUAGGGUGAAGCCAGAGGAAACUCUGGUGGAGGCUCGCAGCGGUUCUGACGUGCAAAUCGAUCGUCAAAUUUGGGUAUAGGGGCGAAAGACUAAUCGCC
RNAcentral lists this ribosomal RNA (910 nucleotides) under Relicina sydneyensis. RNAcentral describes it as "eukaryotic LSU rRNA". It matches the Rfam family "Eukaryotic large subunit ribosomal RNA", at positions 71 to 940 of the family's 3401-position model. Lineage: Eukaryota; Fungi; Ascomycota; Lecanoromycetes; Lecanorales; Parmeliaceae. The record is from RNAcentral.